AGUGGCGGACGGGUGAGUAACGCGUGAGAAUCUGCCUUGGGGUCGGGGACAACCACUGGAAACGGUGGCUAAUACCGGAUAAGCCGAUUGGUGAAAGAUUUAUUGCCCGAAGAGGAGCUCGCGUCUGAUUAGCUAGUUGGUGAGGUAAGAGCUCACCAAGGCAGCGAUCAGUAGCUGGUCUGAGAGGACGAUCAGCCACACUGGGACUGAGACACGGCCCAGACUCCUACGGGAGGCAGCAGUGGGGAAUUUUCCGCAAUGGGCGAAAGCCUGACGGAGCAAGACCGCGUGAGGGAGGAAGGCUCUUGGGUUGUAAACCUCUUUUCUCAGGGAAGAAGCUCUGACGGUACCUGAGGAAUCAGCCUCGGCUAACUCCGUGCCAGCAGCCGGUAAUACGGAGGAGGCAAGCGUUAUCCGGAAUUAUUGGGCGUAAAGCGUCCGCAGGUGGCGAUUCAAGUCUGCUGUCAAAGCACGGGGCUUAACUCCGUAAAGGCAGUGGAAACUGAAUAGCUAGAGUGCCGUAGGGGUAGAGGGAAUUCCCGGUGUAGCGGUGAAAUGCGUAGAGAUCGGGAAGAACAUCGGUGGCGAAAGCGCUCUACUGGACGGCAACUGACACUCAGGGACGAAAGCUAGGGGAGCGAAUGGGAUUAGAUACCCC
Molecule: ribosomal RNA, 658 nt
Filed under: uncultured bacterium
Lineage: Bacteria
Description: bacterial SSU rRNA
Rfam family: Bacterial small subunit ribosomal RNA
Source: RNAcentral